GAAACUUCAGAUUCAGACCUUUAAAAUCAAGUAGCAUCAUAAACUCCACUCCAAGGAAGAACCAAGAGCCUCGUGAAAACUGGCACUUCUGGGUCGUCCCAUUUUGUCUAAUUCCUUACUGCUACAUAUAUUAAGGUUAGUUGAAUCAGGACACAUCUAGUCCCUGCUGCUACUACUGCUAGGACUAUGACUUGUGUUCGAGUCUGACCCAUAACUGCUAACGCCUCAUUUCCACAAGUCAAAUAUACAAUCUAUACACACACAUUCAAAAUUUCCCAUAAAUUCUUUCUUCUUCCAGUAAACUCUGCCUGUAGCAAUGUAGAAGAAGGAUCACUGUCUCCAAGGGCUAGAAGAAGAAGAAGAAGUGUCUGUUAAAGCCUUUCCCAAGACGGUAACAAAUACGAGAGAAUAUAUUUUAUUUCAUGGUCCAUUUGACAUGGUCGAUGAUGAUUAUGGUUGUCUUUGCGCUGUCGCUUCUAGUGCUUCCUCCACUCCUGCCACCGUUGCCUCCACCGCCGCUGGUUCUUUUAUUUGUACCCGUCAUGAUUAUGUUACUUCUUUUGUUAAUGGCUUUCACUCCAUCGCAAAUCCCUGAGUUUUCUCUUUGAGAUCUGUUUUCCUGUUCCUUUUUUUUUUUUUUUUGAAUUAAUGCAGCUUUUCACUUUUGUAUUAAGAGGAAAGAAAUGAUGUAAAAUUAGAUUGUUAAUUUAGAGCAAAACUAUUUGGGGCUUUCUAUGCUUAAAAGGGUAGAAAGUAUGACAUAAGAAAAAGAAAUCAGCGAG
Molecule: long non-coding RNA, 782 nt
Filed under: Ricinus communis (castor bean)
Lineage: Eukaryota; Viridiplantae; Streptophyta; Magnoliopsida; Malpighiales; Euphorbiaceae
Description: long non-coding RNA (RCOM_LNC002107)
Source: RNAcentral